GCUUACUGCCAUACCACCCUGAAUGUGCUCGAUCUCAUCUGAUCUCGGAAGCUAAACAAGGUCAGUCCUUGUUAUUACUUGGAUGGGUGACCGCCUGGGAAUACCAGGUGCUGUAAGCU
Molecule: non-coding RNA, 119 nt
Organism: Larimichthys crocea (large yellow croaker)
Lineage: Eukaryota; Metazoa; Chordata; Actinopteri; Sciaenidae
Source: Rfam